UGAGGAAUCUUGCGCAAUGGGGGAAACCCUGACGCAGCAACGCCGCGUGAGUGAGGAAGGUCUUCGGGUCGUAAAGCUCUGUCAGGCGGGAAGAAAUGCAUGGAGGUGAACAGCCGCCAUGCUUGACGGUACCGCCAGAGGAAGCACCGGCUAACUCCGUGCCAGCAGCCGCGGUAAUACGGGGGGUGCAAGCGUUGUUCGGAAUCAUUGGGCGUAAAGAGCGUGUAGGCGGCUUGGUAAGUCAGAUGUGAAAGCCCUGGGCUCA
This 265-nucleotide ribosomal RNA is filed under the name uncultured bacterium. Its description in RNAcentral is "partial 16S ribosomal RNA". It matches the Rfam family "Bacterial small subunit ribosomal RNA", at positions 355 to 611 of the family's 1533-position model. The record is from RNAcentral.